AUUGGUUACAGUCAGAGGGUCCAGAGUUACAUGUAAGGUGUGCAUAGGUUAACUUAUCACAACAUUCUAAGGGUCAGCCUCCCAGACCACCCACUCCAGCCCCCUUGGUUAUCUAGUCUCUGCCCACUGCAGCUGUGUGUGGGGUGCUCAGUUGUUUACAUCUCGAUUUCCUAGCCUCGCUGGGAACCAAGGACGUUCUCAGCGCAAGUUACCCAUGUUUAUGACUUUAUGUCCUCGACUGGUGAGAAAUUCUUCCACAUUGGGCAAAGGAGACAAAUAACCCAUCCUUUUGCUUACACUUAUCAGCAGCCACAGACCCAUUUAAAACAUGCCUGAUAGGGUUGCCAUUUGAUGAUCAACGCACUUUGGUAGCCUCCUUUUCAUCUCUCACACAUCAAGAUUGUUCUACAGCAAAAAGUAUAAGGCAUUGUAUGGCAUUAAUAGUUGCAAGCCUCAAUGACCCUUUACCAUGGGACCCUCAAGAGUUCAACCUGUUAGGAAGUAGAAUGCCAAAUCAGUCAGGAUGUCUGAUAUUUGGCUCGCACAAUCUGACGAAUCGUCAAAUAACAGAUCUAACACCCUAUCAUUUUCCUUAUUGGAGUACCUCUGAUUUUUGUGCUAAAGACACGGUUUAUGGUUGGAACACAAAUGGUAUGUGCCUUAACAUUACCAAAGCCUUAAGAUUGCCUAGAAAAGUGUUCCUGAUCUGUGGUAGAAGAGCGUGGCCUGGAAUCCCAAAAGAAAGUAACGGAGGGCCAUGUUACAUUGGUCACCUUUCUUUGCUAACUCCUUCUUCAGAAUUUAUCCGAAAUCAUAUUGCAAGUAGUGCAACUCUAUUAAGAAAUCGUAGAAAUGUAGAAAUGUUAACCUCUGAUUGUAAUGAUGAAGUGGAACUUUGGUCUCAUAUAGCAAGAGUUUUUGGAGCAUUGUUUCCUCCUAUAGGAACAGCACAUGCCUUGUCAGCCAUUCAGAGAUUAGCAUGUUGGACAGCAAAACAAGCUAAUGUUACUACUAGUGUUAUUUCUCAGCUUGCAGUAGAUCAAAAUAGUUUGCGAAAGGCUACCCUGCAAAAUAGAGCAGCUAUAGAUUACUUGCUUUUAGUACAAGGAAAAGGCUGUGAAGAUGUAGAAGGAAUGUGUUGUUUUAACUUGUCUGAUCAUAGUGAUUCAAUCCAUAAAAAGGUAGACUGGCUUCAGCAUCAUACAGAGAAAAUUACAACGAAUCAUAACCCCUUUGAUGAUUGGCUAAUGUCAUGGGGAAUUUCAGCUUGGGCAAAAGAGUUAAUCAAAACUGUAGGAAUAGUAUUGCUUAUUGUUAUUGUUUUAUUAUUCUUAGGACCCUGCAUCUUCCGAUGUCUAUCCUGGCAGAUGCAUCGGAUCGCUGCUGCAGUGUUUGAAAAGAAAGGGGGAGAUGUGGGGAAUUUUGUAGGGGCUGUUGCUUUGCAAUCAAUAUGUAGGCGAUUGGAACACAGCGGGUAAGACACCGGUCAGCCCAAGGACACUGUGUCCGCUUCGUGCUUUCUAUGAAAAAAAGCAGGGUUGGCCUGAGGAUGUUGCGUCCUUGUGGUACAGCUGUGCAAAGUAAAACAAAGUAAUGAAUCAGUCAUGAAUAUACCUUAGAACAAAGGAUCUGCACAUCUGGAAAUGUAGGGUUUGAUAUAUGAGCACACGUACUGCUUAUAAAAAUACCUUUUUGUAUCUACUAAUGAUUAUGCUUUAAACCACAAAAAUGUAUUGCAUGGACCAAUUAGAAAUCGACAUGUAAUCCUGUAAUAGUAUAAAAAGCCUUCUGAUUUGUGUAUUAAACGUCUUACAUUUACAAUCCA
Molecule: long non-coding RNA, 1825 nt
Organism: Pogoniulus pusillus (Red-fronted tinkerbird)
Lineage: Eukaryota; Metazoa; Chordata; Aves; Piciformes; Lybiidae
Exons: 2
Source: RefSeq, a predicted model, not a curated record